This 492-nucleotide ribosomal RNA is filed under the name uncultured bacterium. Its description in RNAcentral is "partial 16S ribosomal RNA". It matches the Rfam family "Bacterial small subunit ribosomal RNA", at positions 29 to 507 of the family's 1533-position model. The record is from RNAcentral.
AGUGAACGCUGGCGGUAGGCCUAACACAUGCAAGUCGAACGGCAGCAUAGUAAGAGCUUGCUCUUACGGGUGGCGAGUGGCGGACGGGUGAGGAAUACAUCGGAAUCUACUUUUUCGUGGGGGAUAACGUAGGGAAACUUACGCUAAUACCGCAUACGACCUACGGGUGAAAGCAGGGGAUCUUCGGACCUUGCGCGAUUGAAUGAGCCGAUGUCGGAUUAGCUAGUUGGCGGGGUAAAGGCCCACCAAGGCGACGAUCCGUAGCUGGUCUGAGAGGAUGAUCAGCCACACUGGAACUGAGCCACGGUCCAGACUCCUACGGGAGGCAGCAGUGGGGAAUAUUGGACAAUGGGCGCAAGCCUGAUCCAGCCAUACCGCGUGGGUGAAGAAGGCCUUCGGGUUGUAAAGCCCUUUUGUUGGGAAAGAAAAGCAGCAGGUUAAUACCCCGCUGUUCUGACGGUACCCAAAGAAUAAGCACCGGCUAACUUCGUG